RNAcentral lists this ribosomal RNA (253 nucleotides) under uncultured bacterium. RNAcentral's name for it is "partial 16S ribosomal RNA". It matches the Rfam family "Bacterial small subunit ribosomal RNA", at positions 524 to 776 of the family's 1533-position model. The record is from RNAcentral.
UACGAAGGGUGCAAGCGUUACUCGGAAUUACUGGGCGUAAAGCGUGCGUAGGUGGUGAGUUAAGUCUGUCGUGAAAGCCCCGGGCUCAACCUGGGAAUGGCGAUGGAUACUGGCUCGCUAGAGUGCGGUAGAGGAGAGUGGAAUUCCCGGUGUAGCAGUGAAAUGCGUAGAGAUCGGGAGGAACAUCAGUUGCGAAGGCGGCUCUCUGGACCAGCACUGACACUAAGGCACGAAAGCGUGGGGAGCAAACAGG